This 253-nucleotide ribosomal RNA is filed under the name uncultured bacterium. Its description in RNAcentral is "partial 16S ribosomal RNA". It matches the Rfam family "Bacterial small subunit ribosomal RNA", at positions 524 to 776 of the family's 1533-position model. The record is from RNAcentral.
UACGUAGGGUGCAAGCGUUAAUCGGAAUUACUGGGCGUAAAGAGCUCGUAGGCGGUUUGUCGCGUCUGCCGUGAAAGUCCGGGGCUUAACUCCGGAUCUGCGGUGGGUACGGGCAGACUUGAGUGAUGUAGGGGAGACUGGAAUUCCUGGUGUAGCGGUGAAAUGCGCAGAUAUCAGGAGGAACACCGAUGGCGAAGGCAGGUCUCUGGGCAUUAACUGACGCUGAGGAGCGAAAGCAUGGGGAGCGAACAGG